This 107-nucleotide small nuclear RNA is filed under the name Chinchilla lanigera (long-tailed chinchilla). The record is from RNAcentral. Lineage: Eukaryota; Metazoa; Chordata; Mammalia; Rodentia; Chinchillidae.
GUGCUUACUUUGGCAGCACAUACCCUAACAUUUGAACAAUACAGAGAAGAUUACCAUGGUCCCCGCAAAAGGAUGACACACAAAUUCCUGAAGUGUUCCACUUUUAA